This 496-nucleotide ribosomal RNA is filed under the name uncultured bacterium. Its description in RNAcentral is "partial 16S ribosomal RNA". It matches the Rfam family "Bacterial small subunit ribosomal RNA", at positions 28 to 506 of the family's 1533-position model. The record is from RNAcentral.
GAUGAACGCUGGCGGCGUGCCUAAUACAUGCAAGUCGAGCGAACAGAUAAGGAGCUUGCUCCUUUGGCGUUAGCGGCGGACGGGUGAGUAACACGUGGGUAACCUACCUAUAAGACUGGAAUAACUCCGGGAAACCGGGGCUAAUGCCGGAUAACAUUUAGAACCGCAUGGUUCUAAAGUGAAAGAUGGUUUUGCUAUCACUUAUAGAUGGACCCGCGCCGUAUUAGCUAGUUGGUAGGGUAACGGCUUACCAAGGCAACGAUACGUAGCCGACCUGAGAGGGUGAUCGCCCACACUGGAACUGAGACCCGGCCCAGACCCCUAGGGGGGGCAGCAGUGGGGAAUCUUCCGAAAUGGGCGAAAGCCUGACGGAGAAACGCCGGGUGGGGGAUGAAGGGUUGCGGAUCGUAAAACCCUUUUUUUAGGGAAAAAAAAAUGUGUAAGUAACUGUGCCCGUUUGGACGGUACCAAAACAGAAAGCCACGGCUAACUACGG